CCUACGGGAGGCAGCAGUGGGGAAUAUUGGACAAUGGGCGAAAGCCUGAUCCAGCAAUGCCGCGUGAGUGAUGAAGGCCUUAGGGUUGUAAAGCUCUUUUACCAGGGAUGAUAAUGACAGUACCUGGAGAAUAAGCUCCGGCUAACUCCGUGCCAGCAGCCGCGGUAAUACGGAGGGAGCUAGCGUUGUUCGGAAUUACUGGGCGUAAAGCGUACGUAGGCGGUUAUUCAAGUCAGAGGUGAAAGCCUGGAGCUCAACUCCAGAACUGCCUUUGAAACUAGAUAGCUAGAAUCUUGGAGAGGUGAGUGGAAUUCCGAGUGUAGAGGUGAAAUUCGUAGAUAUUCGGAAGAACACCAGUGGCGAAGGCGACUCACUGGACAAGUAUUGACGCUGAGGUACGAAAGCGUGGGGAGCAAACAGGAUUAGAUACCCUGGCAGUCCACGCCGUAAACGAUGAUAACUAGCUGUUCGGGCUCUACGAGCUUGUAGUGGCGCAGCUACGACAUUAAGUUAGUCCGUCCGUGGGAGGUACGGUCGGCGAGUAAGUAAACUAACUUAAAUUAGUAAGUUAGUUACGGUCGUUGAGAGNGCCGACGGACGACGACGAGGGAGGAGG
This 616-nucleotide ribosomal RNA is filed under the name uncultured bacterium. Its description in RNAcentral is "bacterial SSU rRNA". The stretch from base 1 to 520 matches the Rfam family "Bacterial small subunit ribosomal RNA", at positions 338 to 873 of the family's 1533-position model. The record is from RNAcentral.